UCUCUUUACCUUCUUCCUAAAGGAUCUCUCUCCAAAUACAGUCACCCUAGGGCUUCUUUGCAAAUACGAGAGGGACAUCCUGCAGUCCAGAACAGACAUGUCAUAGACAAACCCUCCACUAAAUCAAUAAAAAGGUUGUCCACUGCCUGCUUUUUCCUCCCAAGGAAGAAUUUUAAAAAUUUCAUCAGAUCAACAACAGCUAUGGCAGCAAACAUUUUUCAGCUGAGUCCUGCUGGGAUAACGGCUCUCCCAUGAUGCCAAGCGGCUCUGCUGUGAAGGACAGAAGUGAGGAUUUGCUUACGACAUCCAAAUAUGGUGAAUCCAUUUGCUCCGAGUUGACAAAUGAACUGGAGGUCCCAGGUUUCCUGAUUCAUCGYCUGUUGUCCCCAUUACCACCACCGCGUCUGACUGACUCACUGGUAUCUGCAAAUGUCAUUCCUCAGUCUGGAGACUGAGAUGUUCCACCCCCUCCCCCAUCAGAAGCCUAUUAAUUAUCUAUGGCCACACAAUCAAUCACCCUGAAUCUAAGGGACUUAAGGUAAUCAGUCCGUGUGAUCUCAUGGUUCCUGUGGCUCAGGAACUGAGAGGCAGCUCAGCACAGACAUGUGAGCUCAGGGUGUCCCAUCAGGUGCAGGCCAGCGCUGCAGUCAACUAAGGGUGAUGAGGGACUGGAGAGUCCCCUCUAAGGCAGCUUACUCACAUGGCURGGAAGCCUCAGUUUCUCUCUACAAGUACACACUGGGAAAUCCAUGAGAGUGACGUACAAGUGACCUCCAUCAUGAGCAGAGUCACAUACUGCACCCAAUUUUUUUUUUUUUGGUACCAGGGAUUGAACUCAGGGGCACUUAACCACUGAGUCACUUCCCCAGACCUGUUUUGUAUUUUAUUUAGAGACAGGGUCUCACUGAGCUGCUUAGGGCCUCGCUUUUGCUGAGGCUGGCUUUGAACUUGCAAUCCUCCUGACU
This 965-nucleotide long non-coding RNA is filed under the name Urocitellus parryii (Arctic ground squirrel). RNAcentral describes it as "lncRNA (ENSUPAG00010000632.1)". Lineage: Eukaryota; Metazoa; Chordata; Mammalia; Rodentia; Sciuridae. The record is from RNAcentral.